This is a long non-coding RNA of Impatiens glandulifera, 263 nucleotides long. RefSeq lists it as uncharacterized. NCBI's taxonomy places the organism in Eukaryota, Viridiplantae, Streptophyta, Magnoliopsida, Ericales, Balsaminaceae. The transcript is spliced from 3 exons. The record is from RefSeq and is a predicted model, not a curated record.
CCGCCGCAUGUUUCUUCUUCUUGCUCCAGCGUUGGUUCAACCUCAGGGAGUGUUGCAUCAAUACUGUCGUCGUCGUCGUUGGCAAUUGGAUUUCCGUUUCAACGCAAUAUUCCUUGCUGCUUCGGAGAGGAUGCCUGUUACAGGAAUUCUAUGCUUUGAAGCGACGUUGUAGCGGACAAGAUGGAAAUUCACUUAGGUGCUUCUGCUUUGUUGCGGUUAAAAAGGAGGACAAAAAUAUCCGAAGGACUGUUCUAAACAGUGUU